RNAcentral lists this ribosomal RNA (253 nucleotides) under uncultured bacterium. Its description in RNAcentral is "partial 16S ribosomal RNA". It matches the Rfam family "Bacterial small subunit ribosomal RNA", at positions 524 to 776 of the family's 1533-position model. The record is from RNAcentral.
UACGGAGGGUGCAAGCGUUAAUCGGAAUUACUGGGCGUAAAGCGCACGCAGGUGGCUGAGUCAGUCGAUUGUGAAAGCCCUGGGCUUAACCUGGGAAUUGCAGUCGAUACUACUCAGCUAGAGUAUGGGAGAGGGUAGUGGAAUUCCCGGUGUAGCGGUGAAAUGCGUAGAUAUUGGGAGGAACACCAGUGGCGAAGGCGGCUCACUGGACCGGAACUGACGCUGAGGCGCGAAAGCGUGGGGAGCAAACAGG